GACGAACGCUGGCGGCGUGCUUAACACAUGCAAGUCGAACGGUAAGGCCCUUCGGGGUACACGAGUGGCGAACGGGUGAGUAACACGUGGGUGAUCUGCCCUGCACUUCGGGAUAAGCCUGGGAAACUGGGUCUAAUACCGGAUGGGCCGACUGCCGGCAUGGGUGGUGUGGGAAGGCUUUUGCGGUGUGGGAUGGGCCCGCGGCCUAUCAGCUUGUUGGUGGGGUGAUGGCCUACCAAGGCGACGACGGGUAGCCGGCCUGAGAGGGUGACCGGCCACACUGGGACUGAGAUACGGCCCAGACUCCUACGGGAGGCAGCAGUGGGGAAUAUUGCACAAUGGGCGCAAGCCUGAUGCAGCGACGCCGCGUGAGGGAUGACGGCCUUCGGGUUGUAAACCUCUUUCAGCACCGACGAAGCGCAAGUGACGGUAGGUGCAGAAGAAGGACCGGCCAACUACGUGCCAGCCGCCGCGGUAA
RNAcentral lists this ribosomal RNA (478 nucleotides) under uncultured bacterium. RNAcentral's name for it is "partial 16S ribosomal RNA". It matches the Rfam family "Bacterial small subunit ribosomal RNA", at positions 28 to 523 of the family's 1533-position model. The record is from RNAcentral.